This 497-nucleotide ribosomal RNA is filed under the name uncultured bacterium. Its description in RNAcentral is "partial 16S ribosomal RNA". It matches the Rfam family "Bacterial small subunit ribosomal RNA", at positions 28 to 507 of the family's 1533-position model. The record is from RNAcentral.
GAUGAACGCUGGCGGCGUGCCUAAUACAUGCAAGUCGAACGAUGAAGAGAGGAGCUUGCUCUUCUUGGAUGAGUUGCGGACGGGUGAGUAACGCGUAGGUAACCUGCCUUGUAGCGGGGGAUAACUUUUGGAAACGAUAGCUAAUACCGCAUAACAUUGGAAGACACAUGUCACUUAAUUGAAAGGGGCAUUUGCUCCACUAUAAGAUGGACUUGCGUUGUAUUAAGUAGUAGGUGAGGUGAAGGGCUUACUAAGCGACGAUACCUAGGCGGACUGAGAGGGGGAUCGGCCACACUGGGAAUGGGAACCGGGCCAGACUCCCUAGGGAGGGAAGAAGAGGGGAACUUCGGGAAUUGGGCGAAAGCUGACCGGGCAACGGCGGGGGAGGGAAUGAAGGUUUCGGGAUGGAAAGCUCUUUUGAUAGGCAAAGAAGAGUUGUGUAAGUAAAAGUGCACGUUGUGACGGUAGCUAACCAGAAAGCGACGGCUAACUACGUG